This 1088-nucleotide ribosomal RNA is filed under the name Bacillus sp. NBRA1. RNAcentral describes it as "bacterial SSU rRNA". The stretch from base 1 to 788 matches the Rfam family "Bacterial small subunit ribosomal RNA", at positions 109 to 873 of the family's 1533-position model. The record is from RNAcentral. Lineage: Bacteria; Bacillati; Bacillota; Bacilli; Caryophanales; Bacillaceae.
AGUAACACGUGGGUAACCUGCCCAUAAGACUGGGAUAACUCCGGGAAACCGGGGCUAAUACCGGAUAACAUUUUGAACCGCAUGGUUCGAAAUUGAAAGGCGGCUUCGGCUGUCACUUAUGGAUGGACCCGCGUCGCAUUAGCUAGUUGGUGAGGUAACGGCUCACCAAGGCAACGAUGCGUAGCCGACCUGAGAGGGUGAUCGGCCACACUGGGACUGAGACACGGCCCAGACUCCUACGGGAGGCAGCAGUAGGGAAUCUUCCGCAAUGGACGAAAGUCUGACGGAGCAACGCCGCGUGAGUGAUGAAGGCUUUCGGGUCGUAAAACUCUGUUGUUAGGGAAGAACAAGUGCUAGUUGAAUAAGCUGGCACCUUGACGGUACCUAACCAGAAAGCCACGGCUAACUACGUGCCAGCAGCCGCGGUAAUACGUAGGUGGCAAGCGUUAUCCGGAAUUAUUGGGCGUAAAGCGCGCGCAGGUGGUUUCUUAAGUCUGAUGUGAAAGCCCACGGCUCAACCGUGGAGGGUCAUUGGAAACUGGGAGACUUGAGUGCAGAAGAGGAAAGUGGAAUUCCAUGUGUAGCGGUGAAAUGCGUAGAGAUAUGGAGGAACACCAGUGGCGAAGGCGACUUUUCUGGUCUGUAACUGACACUGAGGCGCGAAAGCGUGGGGAGCAAACAGGAUUAGAUACCGCUGGUUAGUCCACCGCCGUAAACGAUGAGUGCUAAUUGUUAGAAGGGUUUCCGCCCCUUUAUUGCUGAAGUUAACGCCAUUAAGCACCUCCGCCCUGGGGGAGGAACGGCGGCCAAGGUUGUUUCUCUUGUAUUGAUCGAGCGCCCCGCCCCAACCGGUGUGGAACAAUUGUGUUUUUAUUUAUAAGAAUGCGCAAAAAACAUUAAUCAGCGUGUGGUAGUUCAUCUGUAUAAACAACAAGAAUGAGGAUGUCCUCCUCAGCGAGAGGCACAGGAGUGGAGAGAUGGCUCGCUCUCGUCAGGAAGUGUGGUUAAGACCGAACACGUACACCAGACCUAAUUCUGAUUAAUUUGUACCGUAGACUACUCGUGGCACCCGUAUAGUAGAUUUAACA